GACGAGCCUCACAAACGUUAUUCGGAAUUACUGGGCUUAAAGGGUGCGUAGGCGGCGCGGCAAGUUGGGUGUGAAAUCCCUCGGCUCAACCGAGGAACAGCGCUCAAAACUACCGUGCUCGAGGGAGAUAGAGGAAUGCGGAACUUACGGUGGAGCGGUGAAAUGCGUUGAUAUCGUAGGGAACACCGGUGGCGAAAGCGGCAUUCUGGAUCUCUUCUGACGCUGAUGCACGAAAGCUAGGGUAGCAAACGGG
Molecule: ribosomal RNA, 253 nt
Filed under: uncultured bacterium
Lineage: Bacteria
Description: partial 16S ribosomal RNA
Rfam family: Bacterial small subunit ribosomal RNA
Source: RNAcentral